This is a long non-coding RNA of Macadamia integrifolia, 318 nucleotides long. RefSeq lists it as uncharacterized. The transcript is spliced from 3 exons. The record is from RefSeq and is a predicted model, not a curated record. NCBI's taxonomy places the organism in Eukaryota, Viridiplantae, Streptophyta, Magnoliopsida, Proteales, Proteaceae.
AGAUUGUCAAGGAAAAUGGACAGCUGAAGUUUCUGGUGGAAAUCUUGCUUGGGCUCAGAUUCUCCAUGAAUGGCACUUUUGUAAAAUCUGACACCAACACUUGUGAUGUUACGAUGGAUGAUGCAGCCAUCUUGGCUGGUCAAUUUGGAGUUCCUAUGGAGAUGAAAAGCAAGUUCAACAUGGAGUUCCUAAUUUCAUCAUGAAGAAUAUGAUCUUGCAACAUCUUUAGUGUAUCCUGCCAUGCUGAUAUUCUCAUAUCAAAUAAAGAUGAACCGAUAACCUCAAGAGCCAAGGGAAGCCCUCCAGUAUUGUUUACAA